RNAcentral lists this ribosomal RNA (497 nucleotides) under uncultured bacterium. Its description in RNAcentral is "partial 16S ribosomal RNA". It matches the Rfam family "Bacterial small subunit ribosomal RNA", at positions 28 to 507 of the family's 1533-position model. The record is from RNAcentral.
GAUGAACGCUGGCGGCGUGCCUAUUCCUUCCAAGUCGAGCGAAAAGACGAGGAGCUUGCUCCUCUGCCGUUAGCGGCGGACGGGUGGGUAACACGUGGAUAACCUACCUAUAAGACGGGGAUAACUUCGGGAAACCGGAGCUAAUACCGGAUAAUUUAUUGAACCCCAUGGUUCAAAAGUGAAAAACGGUUUUGCUGUCCCUUAUAGUGGAAUCCGCGCCGCAUAAGGAAGUUGGUAAGGUAACGGCUUACCAAGGCGACGAUGCGUAGCCGACCUGAGAGGGUGAUCGGCCACACUGGAACUGAGACAAGGUCCCGACUCCUACGGGGGGCAACAGGAGGGAAUCUUCCGGAAUGGGCGGAAGCCUGACGGAGCAACGGCGCGGGAGUGAUGAAGGUCUUCGGAUCGUAAAACUCUUGUAAUAGGGAAAAACAAAUGUGGAAGUAAAUAUGCACGGCUUGAAGGUACCUAAUCAGAAAGCCACGGCUAACUACGUG